GGGUGAGUAACACGUGAGUAACCUGCCCCUGACUCUGGGAUAAGCGUUGGAAACGACGUCUAAUACUGGAUAUGAUCACUGGCCGCAUGGUCUGGUGGUGGAAAGAUUUUUUGGUUGGGGAUGGACUCGCGGCCUAUCAGCUUGUUGGUGAGGUAAUGGCUCACCAAGGCGACGACGGGUAGCCGGCCUGAGAGGGUGACCGGCCACACUGGGACUGAGACACGGCCCAGACUCCUACGGGAGGCAGCAGUGGGGAAUAUUGCACAAUGGGCGAAAGCCUGAUGCAGCAACGCCGCGUGAGGGAUGACGGCCUUCGGGUUGUAAACCUCUUUUAGUAGGGAAGAAGCGAGAGUGACGGUACCUGCAGAAAAAGCACCGGCUAACUACGUGCCAGCAGCCGCGGUAAUACGUAGGGUGCAAGCGUUGUCCGGAAUUAUUGGGCGUAAAGAGCUCGUAGGCGGUUUGUCGCGUCUGCUGUGAAAUCCCGAGGCUCAACCUCGGGCUUGCAGUGGGUACGGGCAGACUAGAGUGCGGUAGGGGAGAUUGGAAUUCCUGGUGUAGCGGUGGAAUGCGCAGAUAUCAGGAGGAACACCGAUGGCGAAGGCAGAUCUCUGGGCCGUAACUGACGCUGAGGAGCGAAAGGGUGGGGAGCAAACAGGCUUAGAUACCCUGGUAGUCCACCCCGUAAACGUUGGGAACUAGUUGUGGGGACCAUUCCACGGUUUCCGUGACGCAGCUAACGCAUUAAGUUCCCCGCCUGGGGAGUACGGCCGCAAGGCUAAAACUCAAAGGAAUUGACGGGGACCCGCACAAGCGGCGGAGCAUGCGGAUUAAUUCGAUGCAACGCGAAGAACCUUACCAAGGCUUGACAUACACCGGAACACCGUAGAAAUACGGGACUCUUUGGACACUGGUGAACAGGUGGUGCAUGGUUGUCGUCAGCUC
Molecule: ribosomal RNA, 945 nt
Filed under: Microbacterium enclense
Lineage: Bacteria; Bacillati; Actinomycetota; Actinomycetes; Micrococcales; Microbacteriaceae
Description: bacterial SSU rRNA
Rfam family: Bacterial small subunit ribosomal RNA
Source: RNAcentral